Molecule: RNA transcript, 4184 nt
Organism: Erpetoichthys calabaricus (reedfish)
Lineage: Eukaryota; Metazoa; Chordata; Cladistia; Polypteriformes; Polypteridae
Gene name: MFS-type transporter SLC18B1-like
Exons: 15
Source: RefSeq, a predicted model, not a curated record
GUAGAGUUUCACGGCAUAGCUCGGUUUGCAGUGUUCUGGCUGUUAAAGCUGCAUUUAACUGAGUGAACUAUUCAGACCGACAUGGAAGACGACGAAAUAGAAGCCGAGAGCCGUUCAGACAGUCGUGCGGGAGCUGAAGAUUCAAAUGGAGAGGCAGCUGGGAGGAAACCAAAACUUUCCAGGAAAAACAUUUUUACUCUGGUCUCUGCUGCAUCUGUAAAUUUUAGCUCAAUGAUUUGUUAUUCAAUACUAGGCCCAUUUUUCCCCACAGAGGCUGAGAAAAAAGGUGUUAAUCAGACUGUAACUGGAUUGAUAUUUGGAUGCUAUGCCUUGUGUACCCUGUUGGGAUCCUUAGUACUCGGAAAAUAUAUUGUUCAGAUAGGAGCAAAAUUUAUGCUUUGUGCUGGAUUGUUUUUAUCUGGAGGAUGUACAGUUCUUUUCGGUCUACUUGAUAGAGUGCCACAUGGAGUACCUUUUAUAUUGAUGUGCUUUAUAGUAAGAUCCAUUGAUGCUGUUGGCUUUGCUGCUGCAAUGACCUCAUCUUUUGCCAUCAUUGCCAAGGCUUUUCCGAAUAAUAUAGCAACAGUAUUGGGAAUCUUGGAGAUUUUUACGGGUCUUGGACUUGUACUGGGACCUCCAUUAGGUGGUUUCCUUUACCAGUCCUUUGGUUACGAGAUUCCAUUCAUUGUGCUGGGAUUUGUUCUCAUAUUGAUGGUGCCUCUGAACAUUUAUGUUUUGCCAUCCUAUGAUGCUACACCUAGCAAAGAUUCUUUUUGGAGGCUCUUUACCCUGCCUAAAAUUUCACUUCUUUGUUUUUUGAUUUUUUCCAUGAGCUCAUGUUUUGGUUUUCUGGACCCAACUAUGUCACUUUUUGUCAUUGAAAAGUUCCAUUUGCCUACUGGGUAUGUCGGACUUGUAUUCCUUGUUUUGGCAUUGUUUAACUCUUUGUCUUCACCUUUGCUGGGCAUUGUUAGUGAUAAAAUGCCUAAUACUAGAAGGUGGCUUAUGGUGAUUGGUGGCAUCACAGCAGCACUUGGCUAUUGUUUUCUGGGACCUGCUCCAUUUCUUCAUUUAAAAAGCCAGCUAUGGUUGUUUGUCUUCAUGCUGGCCCUCACAGGGUUUUCCAGUGGUAUGACAUGCAUCCCUACCCUUCCAGAAAUCGUCAAGUGUGCGUAUGAAAAUGGAUUUGAAGAUGACUUAAGCACUCUGGGCCUUGUAUCUGGUCUGUAUGGUGCAGUAUGGUCUUUUGGGACUUUCUUUGGCCCAACUGUUGGAGGAUUUCUGGUUGAAAAGUUCAGUUUUGAGUGGGCUGCAGCUGCUCAAGGAGGUCUUAUUUUUAUAUCGGUGCUUUUUUUAGGAAUCUACUACUUUGUAGAGCCUUGCUUCAGGAGACCUGCCACUACAAGUGUUGAAGAAAAUGAAGAAAGAGCACCUUUACUUUCCAAUCACAUUUAAUUUUUAUAACAAUUGUGAUAUUAUAGUUACAAUUAGGUAAUUUAAUUAGUUUUCAGUUUAUUUUAAUGUGAUUGCGUUUCUGAACCAAGUAAGAAUGAAAAAGAUUGUCAAAUAAGGACAAAGAAAUAUCUGUGUGUAGUAGGUCCAUACUAUAUGUAAAAUGUUAAAAAGAAUGAACCUGGUAAAAAUCAUGCUGUCUGAAAUGAUGUGGAAAACAGAAUUUAAAAAGCUGUCAAUAUAGCACAAACCAACUAAAUAACAUUUCAAAGUAUUAUAUAAAUGUAGCUGAAAGGACAAACAAAAAACUAGCAAACAACUUUGACUGUAAUAUUCUAAAAAGCUAUCUGAUUUGAUCAAGACAAUGCAAAACCUGCAUGCACGUAGUCUAAGGAUCAGUAUUUCCUGUGGAAGACUGAAUAUACUGUAAAUAAUGCAAUGGAGAGCAUUACUAACUGUUUUUAAAUAUAGGAGAGCUGCAGGAUUUUACUAGAGUGCUCCAUAAUAAUAAUAAUAAUAAUGUAAAUAGGCAUUUUUAAUAUAUGUAUUUACUGUAUAUUUAUAGGGAUGGUACUACUCAAGAAUUAUAUUUAUUUUAGGCAAUGUUGCUUAAAUUUAAAAUGUGACAUUGAGCUCAUCCUGCAUUCUGCUUAAGAAUGCACAAUGAAUGACUUAUCUAGUGCUGACAUGUUUAUUGAAUGUAUUUUUUAAUGUAAAUCAUUUUCUUACAACAUCAGCUGCUAUCUUAACUUUUCAUAGCUGGAAAGAUUACAAUAUGCAAGCUUUCGAGGCAACUCAGGCCCCUUCUUCAGGCAAGAUGUAAUCAAUAAAAGGUGUCAUUUUGCUUGGCUUUUCUCUACAUUCAUAAUGGCUAACACGGUACAGCACCCUAGUACUACAUAGCUGGAAAGAAAACAUUUAAUUACUAAAAUGGACAAAUGCCAUUCCUAGUUCCAUGACUGACUCAAGAAGGUAUUUUCUUGUCAUAUCAUUUAUACAUUUUUGGAACAGAAAUAUAGCAGUUAUUAUUUGUUAUCAUUAGGCUUUCCAAGACCAUAUACUGUUCAGUGCAGGAGGAGCUUUGUAUGCUUUCAGAUUUCUUCCUUUAAGCUUGGUGAACACUCAACAUGUAGUCAUGUCCGAGGAUAUCCAUAACAUACUUCUCAUUACUUAUAAUAAGAAGCACAUAAAUGCCAUGGGCUGGUGACCACAACAGGCAGCUGUGUAAAAGAUGUUUUGUCAUGUGUGAUCAAUAAUCCGCAUUCAAAUCCUGUCAUGUGUAUGUUCAUAAUCUCACAAAUUAGCAUCAUGGUACCUCAGAGUAGCUCACAGUUCCUAAUGUGAACUGAGCUCCCAAGUCAUCCACUUAUCCGAGAGUCACAACCAUCAUCUGACCAUCAUCUCUCAGCAUUCUGAGAAGCUAUUGGAUGUUUCUACUUAUAUACAGAUGCACAAUAACUUUGUUGUUACAACACCAAAACUAAACUUCGCUGUUUACUUAUGAGACAUAUUAUUCUUAUGUAGUGCCUUACUGUUUAUACAAGUCAGCUUAAUGAAAACUAGAUAAUAUCAUGGUGCAUUUAUCUUUGUAAUUGAAAGUUAAUUAUUUAUGUAAAGAAUAAUGGAAAAUAUCAGUCUUUUAACUAAAGUUUUAUACUAAAAAAUGUUUACAUUUGAAAUUUCUGAAGCAAAGGUUCUCUUUUCAGUGUACACCAUAUUAGAACAUUUUAAUAUAGUAGUGUUAAGUAAGAGUGCUGCAGAUAUGUAGCAGGUCCAGAAAUUACAUGCUAGUUUGACAGUUCUGUGUAACCCAAAGGUGAGCCUGAUGUAUGAGUCAAUGAAACCUUAUUUGAUCUGUUUGUAUUGUAACAGAUCGGCUGUAUGCCCAUCGCAGCUCCAUCCCCUAUUGUCUCGGACCACCAAGCCCCACUGUGAUAUGGCAAAAAGAUUCACUUGAAGCCUCACAAGAGGGUCUGGAAAGUGCAGCUCAGCAGGAGGCUGGUGUGGCAUACACUGUGUGCAGUAGAAUUGCCCAUAACCUGGACACAAAGUACCAUUUUAAAUAAUAAAAUCUUGUAAUGCAAAGAAUUCACAUAUUUAGAAGUCAAGAGAUUAUACAGUAUGGGAGGAGCGCACUGCCACAUUGCUUUCCUCAUGUCUUUCCAAGCAGAUAGUGGAAAUAAGGUGGCUCUGCUAGAAACUGCUGUAUCCUCAGAAAUGCGUCCGGACUUGGCAGACGAUGUGGUCAAGCACUAGUUAAAACACGUGUGGGCCAAGUGGCCUUUUAUACAUGUAUGAGAGGACACCACAGAUCCUUACAGCCGCACAAUUCACAUUUAUGGACCUGCUACACAUACUGUAUAUUUGGCUUUUUUUUUUUUUUUUUGCCUCAUCUUAUGCACUUUCACUUUUUGUUGUUUAUUCAAUUUCUUCAUUAUUUAUCUCAAAAUCUCAAAGCACAGUUUCAGUAGGAAAUUAAUGACAAAGUUUACAAAAUAUGAAAUAAAAGCGAUGUACUAAGUGGAAGUAUAGUGUCUGACUCAGUUAUAAUUUCUAUCGAGAGUAAUGCACUUAGUUCAAUGUGUAACAUUAUUUAAUCUUUUAAAGAUUAGCCCGUGUAUAUUGUGAAUAUAAAUGGAGACCCAUUCCAUAUGAAAUGCAUUUUUUUGUUUCUUGAUUUCUAAUCGUUAGUAUUUUCACUGUUGAUAUAAACUGAUUUUUUCUAUCUAAUG